This is a long non-coding RNA of Helianthus annuus (common sunflower), 2060 nucleotides long. RefSeq lists it as uncharacterized. The transcript has 2 exons. Lineage: Eukaryota; Viridiplantae; Streptophyta; Magnoliopsida; Asterales; Asteraceae. The record is from RefSeq and is a predicted model, not a curated record.
AGUCAAUGGGAACAACAUACGAUCUAAACCAUUGGAUCAAAUUAAGAUUAAAUCCUGACCAUUAUAAUUCAGAAAAACAAGGAGAGGUUAAUUGGCGGUUAGGUCAAAGCCAGAAUUUUAGUACAUCCUCUCUCCCACGUUUCCACACUCAACCCUUUCAAAAGUUUUUCUCCACUGCGCAUUUUUCACACUCCGAUCGUCUUCCUCCUCAGUUCUUCUUUUAACCUUUUCUCACACUCCGUCCGGAUCAUCAUAGAUAACGAAGAUUACGAAGCCUUAACCGUUCUUUUAACCUUUUUUCUUCUUUUUUGGACUCAAGGCUAAAUUGGUCAAAUCGAAAGGUUUGUUUGUGUGAUUUUGAUGCAGUUAACCUUAAAGAAGACUUGGAUGUGAAUCCAUUCGAAUCAAGCAACGAAGGACAACCACCAAUUGCCACCAUCGCCAGCCUCUACCAAAAGAGUUCCAUUUGAAACAAGGCCACGAUUUCCAUCGCAUCAACCAGUACCGAUCGAUUGUAAGUUAAUCGAGAUUCAAGGUCUGUUGUAAUGGUGUUUUGGGAAAUGAAUUUGAAGGUUCCUGUUGAUGGUGGUUCUUUAUAAUUAGCAUCAAGAUCAUGAUGUCAACUUCGUAUUGGCCAUAUGUUGAUAAUUAGCAUCAUAAUUUCAUUGGGAUUUUUGCCUAUUACCUUUUUAUCUUAUGUUGUAGAUAUCGUUUUUUUACAUAAAGAUAUAAGAGUCUAGAGUCUACGUAUAUCGAACUUGCUGGUAACUCUACUCGAUGUUUACACCUUAUAUAUAGCUUUGCAUGAAAUUAAAUUGUGACGGAAUCAAUAUUCUGGUGUUUGAUUGCAUGUUGGUUAAAGGAAUGUCUAUGAGCAAGAGACUUAUCAUUUAGCCCUGAGAAGAAAGAGACAAUGCAGGUUCUUUUUAUGUUCCAUACAUAUUUUCUUUUCUAUUAUUAUUUUAAUUAACCUGAGUAUAAUUUCAAGUUCUUGGUCACAAAUAAAAAAGUUAGGUAACAAUGUAAUUAUGAAGAUCAAUUGUGAAAUUUAUGUAUAGAGAAAAAAUCAUUCUACAAAGUAAAUGCACAAGAAACUUAAGUUUUACAGCUGAAAAAUCUUUAAAAUGGUUAGAAUUGUGACAUUUUACUGCACAAGAAACUUAAGUUUUGUAAUCUAUUAAUGGGUCGGUUCUGGUUUUACAGGAACUUUAUGUCUAAAAGUUUCGUUUUUCCUUGUAAUAACUAACUACCUAAGCGCAGCAAUGGGAGACAUGGAGAUAUGCAGGUGCUUGGAGUAAAAUAAGCGCAACAAUAGGGGACAUGGAACAGGACUGAAUUCUGGAGAGACAAGUGGUUGGGACAUAUACCGUUGAAAGAGGUCUUUCCCGUAUGACAUGGAGAAACAAAUAUCGUGCCUGAUUUCGGAUAGAAUCUUCGUCGGCAAGGAUAGUGGCAAGCGGGUCAAAUGGUGUUGGAAGAUAAAAAGACUCCCGGGUAUUAUGGUGGAAGAUAUAAAUGACUUGGAAGAGCUAAUUAUGAGUUAUAACUUUACGUUAGAGGAAGACGGAUAGGGCUGGAAGCUGGAAUAUUCGGGUGUCUUUUCGGUUAAAUCUAUGAGGAAGGCAAUGUUAAUGGACGAUGGAGGAACAUAUCCAAUGAGAAAUUUUUAAGUGGAUUUGAUGGGUCCCAUCUAAAGUCGCGUGCUUUAUAUGGCAUCUAGUGCAGAACAGAAUCUCGGUGGCAUGCAACCUAGCGGGUAGAGUUACCCUGCCAUCUACAGUAUGCAGCCUAUGUUCAGCUGAGGAGGAAUCUAAAAGCCAUUUAAUGCUCGAGUGCAAUGCCUCUACGGAUAUAUGGAAUAAAGUUGCUUCAUGGAUCGGAAUGGAUUAAAAGAAGAGCAAAAUUGAAAAAUAUAGACAGGGAGCUAUGGAUUACAGAUGGUAAGGAGCACUUAGUAGGCUUUAGGACCUUAGGUGUUGAAAGUGGGGUCUGGAAUCUGGAUUUUAUUUGGAUUGGUGUACUUAAUACGACAUUUCAUUGCAAUACUUUUAGUUAUUAUA